GAUGAACGCUGGCGGCGUGCCUAAUACAUGCAAGUCGAGCGAACGGACGAGAAGCUUGCUUCUCUGAUGUUAGCGGCGGACGGGUGAGUAACACGUGGAUAACCUACCUAUAAGACUGGGAUAACUUCGGGAAACCGGAGCUAAUACCGGAUAAUAUUUUGAACCGCGUGGUUCAAAAGUGAAAGACGGUCUUGCUGUCACUUAUAGAUGGAUCCGCGCUGCAUUAGCUAGUUGGUAAGGUAACGGCUUACCAAGGCAACGAUGCAUAGCCGACCUGAGAGGGUGAUCGGCCACACUGGAACUGAGACACGGUCCAGACUCCUACGGGAGGCAGCAGUAGGGAAUCUUCCGCAAUGGGCGAAAGCCUGACGGAGCAACGCCGCGUGAGUGAUGAAGGUCUUCGGAUCGUAAAACUCUGUUAUUAGGGAAGAACAUAUGUGUAAGUAACUGUGCACAUCUUGACGGUACCUAAUCAGAAAGCCACGGCUAACUACGUG
RNAcentral lists this ribosomal RNA (497 nucleotides) under uncultured bacterium. Its description in RNAcentral is "partial 16S ribosomal RNA". It matches the Rfam family "Bacterial small subunit ribosomal RNA", at positions 28 to 507 of the family's 1533-position model. The record is from RNAcentral.